Molecule: long non-coding RNA, 1866 nt
Organism: Schistocerca piceifrons (Central American locust)
Lineage: Eukaryota; Metazoa; Arthropoda; Insecta; Orthoptera; Acrididae
Exons: 3
Source: RefSeq, a predicted model, not a curated record
GUUUGUCUGGCCUCUCAACAGGUACCACUCCGUUGUGGUUGUACCUACGGUACAGUUAUCUGUAUCGCUGAGGCACGCAAGCCUCCCCACCGAUGCAAGGUCCAUGGUUCAUGGGAGAAGGGUAAUGAAGUCAUGUAAAAUAAUCUGGAAGUAAUUACUAAAAAUACCAGUUUCAUAAGAUUAUGAUUAGUGAGAAGUUGUAAGUACACUUUACAGAAUUAGACAGCAGUAGCUUCUUCUGCCUCUUAAUGUGCAACUUGACUCGUUCCAUAUCCUGGAAGACUCUCCUUCAUGGCGAAAUUUAUGGAACACAAUGUGAGCAUGAAUGAGUGAGAGAGAAUGUGAGUGAGUGAGUGACUAUCCUUUCUGCUGACUUUUGGUCUUGUCUCUGCUUUUACUAAAUUUUCUGGCAUGUUCUCUACUUACAGGUAUCCACAGGGGAGAAAGAGGCAGUCACACUGUCCAGCAUAAUAGACAGCAAAGAAGAACCAAUAUUAACCUACCAGCAACCAGAAACUGAACAGAUCUGCAUUAAAGAAGAAAAUGUUGUGUGACAAAAAGAUCCUGUGACAGGCUGAAAACCUGUUACGAAAAUAUGAAAAGAAGACUUCAGAAAGAUCUUGCAGAAGAAGAGGUGGAAGUGUAUAAAACAGGCUGGGGGGAAGCCUACCCAAAAAACCAACAAAUGCAUAUGAUUCUGAUGCACAGUUUAGUAUGACUGUGGAUGUUGUUAACAUAGAGUGCAGUGCUGUGCAGUGAGAACACACCAUCUGCUUCAGUUGUCGAGUUAGCAGAGUGCACACAACCUAGCACUUCCCACACACCUGACGUAAUACACAGUAAAGAGACAUCAAAGAAUGUUCUGGUGGCUGUCACCCAGCUGCAGACUGUUUCACAGUCUCCUGAUCCACCCAAAGAAAACAUUUUCACAUCGAAAAAUACAUGGCAUCAUCGCAGGAUGCCUGCAAAACCGGGGCCAUCAGGUUCGGGAACAGUAAUUGAAAAUGUGUGCAAGAAGAGAGUGGAACUACUGGAGGCCCAAUUACACAUAAUGAAGGCUGAACAUAAGAAGGAGCUGAGGAUUAAAAAUUUAAAGAUUCUGGCCCUAAAAGAAAAACUAAAAUAUUGGAAGAAGAAAAAUGCCAGUAACAUGAUUUUUUUCCUAUGAUAGUGAAUUUUUGUAAUUUUUUCUGCUGUUUUGUAUUCUAGCUAAUGUAUCAAAGUUAUCUCACAGGUGAAACUGUUUCUGUGUUUGUCCCAUUAGUGAUGACUGCUACUAUCCUAAUUAUUGUCUGUCUAAUAUCUGCUUAUAGCUUACUUGGUCUGGACUAAUUUUCAUCUAAUCACUUGAAAUUAGAAUUACUUCAUAAAUAAAAACAGGUUAGCGAUACUGCUGUGUGUGCCAUUUUUCUAGCAAUACUCUGCACCUGGUAAUGUUUAUAAUGGAAACCUAUAACUUUUAUUACAAUACAAUUUGUAGUGAGGCAUUUUGAGAAAUACAUUGCUGUGAUGGACACUCUUUUCUGUAAAAGUAAGCAUAGCAUAUGUGGCUUUCCUAGCAUGUGUAUGGUGGAAACCCGUAACGUUCAUCACGACAGUAUUUGUAGAGAGGCAUUAUUGAGUAAUACAUUGCUAAUAUGGGCACUCUCUUCUGCAGUAGUGAGCUUAUCAUAGUGUGGCUUUUCUAGCAAUGCUCUGCACCUGUUAAUGUUUAUAAUGGUAACCUACAGCUUUUAUCACAACAAAUUUGGUAGCAAGAUAUUUUCAGUAAUGCGUUCCUAUGAUGGGGCACUCUAUUCUGUAAUAGUGAGAAUAGCAUUGUGUGGCUUUUCUUACAAUACUCUGCACCUGUUAAUGUUUAUAAUG